This 266-nucleotide unclassified non-coding RNA is filed under the name Hevea brasiliensis (rubber tree). The record is from RNAcentral. Lineage: Eukaryota; Viridiplantae; Streptophyta; Magnoliopsida; Malpighiales; Euphorbiaceae.
GGCUACCUUGCUAUUGCUGUGCACAAGGGUGCAAGAACAACAUCAACCAUCCAAGAGCUAAGCCAUUGAAAGAUUUCAGGACCCUUCAAACGCAUUACAAAAGAAAGCAUGGAGCAAAGCCAUUUAUGUGCAGAAAAUGUGGGAAAACAUUUGCAGUUAAAGGAGAUUGGCGAACCCAUGAAAAGAAUUGUGGAAAGCUAUGGUAUUGUACUUGUGGUUCAGAUUUCAAGCACAAAAGAUCACUCAAAGAUCACAUUAGGUCUUUU